Molecule: transfer RNA, 72 nt
Filed under: Camelus bactrianus (Bactrian camel)
Lineage: Eukaryota; Metazoa; Chordata; Mammalia; Artiodactyla; Camelidae
Also listed under: 2 other names
Rfam family: tRNA
About the family: Transfer RNA (tRNA) molecules are approximately 80 nucleotides in length.
Source: Rfam by way of RNAcentral
AGGGGUAUAGCUCAGUGGUAGAGUGGGUGCUUGGUGUGCAGAAGGUCCUGGGUUCAAUCCCCAGUGCCUCCA